This 344-nucleotide unclassified non-coding RNA is filed under the name soil metagenome. RNAcentral describes it as "partial contains 5.8S ribosomal RNA, internal transcribed spacer 2, and large subunit ribosomal RNA". The stretch from base 1 to 120 matches the Rfam family "5.8S ribosomal RNA", at positions 35 to 154 of the family's 154-position model. The record is from RNAcentral.
GAUGAAGAACGCAGCGAAAUGCGAUAAGUAAUGUGAAUUGCAGAAUUCCGUGAAUCAUCGAAUCUUUGAACGCACAUUGCGCCCCCUGGCAUUCCGGGGGGCAUGCCUGUCCGAGCGUCAUUUCUGCCCUCCAGCCCGGCUGGGUGUUGGGCCUCCGUCCUCCUCCCGGGGGACGGGCCCGAAAGGCAGCGGCGGCACCGCGUCCGGUCCUCGAGCGUAUGGGGCUUCGUCACCCGCUCUUGUAGGCCCGGCCGGCGCUUGCCGACACAUCAAUCUUUUUUCCAGGUUGACCUCGGAUCAGGUAGGGAUACCCGCUGAACUUAAGCAUAUCAAUAAGCGGAGGA